This 468-nucleotide ribosomal RNA is filed under the name uncultured bacterium. RNAcentral describes it as "partial 16S ribosomal RNA". It matches the Rfam family "Bacterial small subunit ribosomal RNA", at positions 28 to 507 of the family's 1533-position model. The record is from RNAcentral.
GACGAACGCUGGCGGCGUGCUUAACACAUGCAAGUCGAACGGAAAGGCCCUGCUUUUGUGGGGUGCUCGAGUGGCGAACGGGUGAGUAACACGUGAGUAACCUGCCCUUGACUUUGGGAUAACUUCAGGAAACUGGGGCUAAUACCGGAUAGGAGCUCCUGCUGCAUGGUGGGGGUUGGAAAGUUUCGGCGGUUGGGGAUGGACUCGCGGCUUAUCAGCUUGUUGGUGGGGUAGUGGCUUACCAAGGCUUUGACGGGUAGCCGGCCUGAGAGGGUGAACGGCGACAUUGGGACUGAGAUACGGACCAGACUCCUACGGGAGGCAGCAGUGGGGAAUAUUGCACAAUGGGCGGAAGCCUGAUGCAGCAACGCCGCGGGCGGGAUGACGGCCUUCGGGUUGUAAACCGCUUUCGCCUGUGACGAAGCGUGAGUGACGGUAAUGGGUAAAGAAGCACCGGCUAACUACGUG